RNAcentral lists this unclassified non-coding RNA (334 nucleotides) under soil metagenome. RNAcentral describes it as "partial contains 5.8S ribosomal RNA, internal transcribed spacer 2, and large subunit ribosomal RNA". The stretch from base 1 to 120 matches the Rfam family "5.8S ribosomal RNA", at positions 35 to 154 of the family's 154-position model. The record is from RNAcentral.
GAUGAAGAACGCAGCGAAAUGCGAUAAGUAAUGUGAAUUGCAGAAUUCAGUGAAUCAUCGAAUCUUUGAACGCACAUUGCGCCCGCCAGUAUUCUGGCGGGCAUGCCUGUUCGAGCGUCAUUUCAACCAUCAAGCCCCGGGCUUGUGUUGGGGACCUGCGGCUGCCGCAGGCCCUGAAAAGCAGUGGCGGGCUCGCUGUCACACCGAGCGUAGUAGCAUACAUCUCGCUCUGGGCGUGCUGCGGGUUCCGGCCGUUAAACCACCUUUUAACCCAAGGUUGACCUCGGAUCAGGUAGGAAGACCCGCUGAACUUAAGCAUAUCAUAAGCGGAGGA